ACCUGCAUCUCUCAUCACUGCUCUCAAUCCCACAGUUGAAAAUAAAUUCAGCUCUACAAAAGUAAAUCCACAUCUCCCAGGCAUUUCCUGAAUUUACCCCUUCAAAUCUCAAAAUAAUGCCAAUUUAAGAUUAACGUAAACCAUUCACAUCCACGAAUCACCUCUGCAAACCAAACCCUAACUUCCAAAUUUCGUUAUCCGAUUAUUCUUCCCUUACUCAUACUUUUUCAUUAGCCAAUUCUGCAAUGUCCC
Molecule: non-coding RNA, 252 nt
Organism: Pelobates cultripes (western spadefoot toad)
Lineage: Eukaryota; Metazoa; Chordata; Amphibia; Anura; Pelobatidae
Source: the annotation of a GenBank genome assembly